AGAAUAUUGGUAGAGCAGACUCUUUCAAGAAUAUCCCUCUCCACUUUGACGUCCCUCCACAAUCCAUUUACAUCAGCGUUUACCAAUUCCUCUGACUGUAUUAAAGGAUGGUCUUUCGAGUUCCGGCAGGAACAGAUUAACCGUUGAAUCCAAGAAGACAAAGGCACUUUCCAUCUCUGAGAAAUGUAACUCAAUAUGGAAACAAGUUGCUGUGAGCGAAGUUGAUGAGGUAGUUGCUUUAUGGCAAAGACUUGCUUCCAGUACAAAUUAGGCCUGUUUUUAACUCCACAAAUAACACUGCUAGAAGAAGUAAUCAUUCUACAAUCAUACAGACCAAAAACAUAUAUAGUAAUAGGCAGAACAUUGCAAAGCAACCUACCAAAUGCAUUUUUUAUAUCUUUUUCUGGGUCCCCAAGUUUCUCAAGGACAGUCUCAGCAAUGUACAGGAAGUGAGAGGGAUGGACAAGUUUUGCUUGCAGAAGCAUGUCUAGAACCAAUUUGACAAGAGAUCUUACUCUUGGUUCUCUGUCUGAUGCAGAAUCCAAAAUGGAGAACAGCAAAUUCUGCAUGACCUCUACAUAUCCCCAGACUUCACAAGGAUAAUGUGUUGCCUCCACAUUCUCAUAUGCACAGAUUACAUUUUUACAGAAUUUAGUUAUCCAUUCUAAGGCUUCUAUUUUAACAGCUAAAGGAGCAGCAGUGUCAAGAGCUUUAACAAGGAGAUUGGAGUAAUUUCUCAAAUACUCCAAAACUAGUAUUGGAUGUUGAUUUUUAAUAUUAUCCUCCUUCAUUGGCUUUGAAAGUGCAGGUUCUCUUGUAGAGCAACUAGUCAGAAACUCAACGUCACUCAGCCUUUGCAAUGUCUGCAAUACUGCUAGUUGCAGUUCUACAUAGGCUUCAAUAGGUAAGCUAAAAGGAUCUAAUUUCUCCACCAAAAAGGAUAAUAAUCUCUUUGACCUAUUAAGAUACAACGUGUCAACUUCUGUAACAUUCAUAUAGCGACUUCCACCUGGAGAAACACACGUUAACAAGACUUUCAAAUCAAAAUGGAUUAAAGCAAACAAUUCUGAUCGUGAAUAAGAUUUUUGAGCUGUAAUUCCAUCUCCAAUGCACCCCUCACCGCAUGUCUCUUUGAGCACAAUAGUCUUCAACAAAUCCAGCUCCUCAAUCAAGGAAUUGAUUGUCCUUUCAACAACUUCUUCAUUAACAUGCUGCAGUAAGAAGAUAUAGGUAGCAGCAGCACUUCCAGUUACUAACUGAUUUGGAUGCAGACGCAAUUGAGAUAUAGGGGCAUCAAAUCCUAUUAUCUUUUCAGCAGAUGAUGGGAGAAGCCCAUGCUUUUGAAGCGACAGCAACUGUAAAUUAGUUUUAAGAACCCCAUGAACCUGAAAGGAAGUAAUAUUUACAGUCCUUGUGAGUUGGACUGUAUUCCGCAUGUCCAAGCUCUGAAACAAAAUAUCAACCGCAAUAGGGAAAAAUGUUGAAAACCUAUCGCCUAAAAUUUCUGCUAACAAAGUCAAGCACUUCCAAGAAUCCUGAAUCCAUUUUGACCAACCAUAUUUCCUUCCAAUCUGUGAUAAACAUCCUAAUAAAAGAGGAACCAUUUUGCAAAGAGGUUCAGUAAUCUGUCCCAGCAUAUUCAUUUCCAGCAAACCAGAUGCUACAGACUUCAAAACUGUAGAAAAGCAAGAUAGUAAAGCAAGUAAUCUUUGAAAUUGCUGUGGAGUACCAGGACUUCCAUCCUGAAGUAACACAUCCAUGUCUCCUAGAAACUUUGAUAGCAAUCCCAAGGAGAACUGCAUGUUAUUUACCCAGUGUUUCUGAAAUUGCAAGAAACUGUCCAUAAUCACACUCCGAUCUGAUUCUGCCAGGUCAGGCACCAUUGCCCACCCAAGGAGCAGAUCAACAAUGUCAACAAAGUGAGGCUGGAAACAUCUAGAAAAGUUUAAAGAAAUUAUAGUUAAAACAGCAAGAAGUCUGUGCAGUAAAAUCAGGGAGGUUCUCUCAUCUUCGAGAAGUUCCUGGCAUGCUUUGAGAACAGGCAAGGCAUAUCUUUCGACUGCCCCAACAUCUCCAACACUAAGAAAUUCUCGUAGAGCUUCCAAAGCCAGCUCCGCUGUCGCAUUUCCUAUAUUGAUAAGCAGUGGCAAUGCCCAACCCAUGAACCGGUCAACCAAGCCACUGAGUAUAACAUGAUUCUGCCUUCCAUUUGAUGCUAGAGGGACUGAACACAGUACAGAGCACAAAGCCCCAUAUGCUGUGGCUGCUGACUGCCGUACCAAAUAUGAUCUAAGCAACACAGUGAAAGCAAAAGAUAAAUCAACAGAAAUGAAGUAUAUUAUCCUGAUCAUUAACUGGUCAAUAUCCACUCAAAAUUUAAAGACCCUUUAUUACAAUGAAUACAAGUAAUUACAUCCUAUUAAAGUGCAAGGUAUGUGAUGCACUUGGCCCAUCAACAGAACCAACUGGAAUGUAGGUUGUAUAACAAAUUGCUAUUCUUGUGCCAUCCAAGAACAAAUGUUUGAUAGAUUGAGAUGGAAUAAACUUCAAUUUUUUUUUUUAAUGAAUUGCAUAAGCUAUUGAAACAUAACAAGACAAGUCACGUGAAUACACUCUGAUGCCAAAUCUGCAGCUAAUUUUUAAUGGAAAGUUUCAAAUCAUUAGUCACAUAUAUUUUCAACCACUGUUGACAUGAACAUGGAUUAACAAACUUAUUUCGGUGGCCCAGUGGAUCUUUUAUCUUUCCCCUCAAAUACCUAUCCUUUACAAGAAACUUGUAAUUGUGCAGAUUCUAGUUGCUGAAUUUAAUUUCAAGCAUAUCUCUCAUGAUUUUAAACCACUCCUUGAAGCAAAUCAGAAUUAGUUUGAUAAUAAAUGCAACUACAGUGGAGAUCAAUGACUACAUGCUAGACUUAACUAGCUUGGAAAUAAUCAGGGGAUGGACACUAAUUUCAGCAAAAUCAGACGCCAAAAGACACAACUGACUGGAGUUUUAGAGGAAGAGUUGGUCUUUACAAUUUUCCUUAACCAAAAAUUCUCUAUGCAGAUAAAGCUCCAAUUCCAGAGCUGUGCACCCAGUUUAAACUUCUUAACCAGACUAUCCUAGCAUAGAAUAAUGACAAAGCAAUACGAGAUGAACAUCACCACUACUACUGUCCAAAUAUUUUUUAACAACUAAACGAAAGAAAGAGCAGGAAAGAGAACUCUUGUCAGAGAAGGAAAAUUUUGCUUUACCAAACAAGCCAGUAUCUUUUGAAGCUCCUCAGGAAUUUCCUUCUCUUGGGUGUUUGCAUCAACUAGAGCAGGGUACACAAUAGACCAAGGAGAUAGUUUUGACAGCUUGACCAGUAAAGUUUCUAGCUGUCUCCUAACUACUUGUUCUGGAUGACAACUUAAUCGUGCAAAUAGUUGAGGUGUUAUCUCCUUCAAAAAAAAAUAAUUAUUAGAAAAUCAUCCACCAACAUUGGUAUGACAUCCUAAAAGCGUAACUCACCUGCCAUGGUAGCAAAGGAACAGUUGAAAGUGCAGGUUCAAGAGUAUCUUCCAACUCAACGCCAUAGUUGAGAAGAAUAUUUAAGACGUAUAAAGUUGCCCUCAUUGUGUAGCUCAUGGACUUAUGAUUUGAGUGAUGCAGGCCAGAUAGUUGACAAUCAGAGUACAUGGAAGAUGAAUACGAAAGGUAAUUGAUGAAAGCUUGAGCUGCUUGACCAAAGAGGGAUACCCUUCUUCUUCUCAAAGACCGCCAAAGAUCAGUUAUAUCAUCAAUCAAGGAUGUUACUGCUGGAUCAUCAAGGGCAAUCUUUGCACUGGCUAAGGACUUCUGCAAUUUAGAUUUUAGCAUAGCAGAAAGGGUUUCACCACUAUGAUCUUCAGCUCCAGGUGCUCCUGCUGUAGCUUCAAGAAUAUCUGUUAUUUGCUCAGACAAAGAUUUGACAUUCUCCUUCUGCCAACAUUCUGAGACAACAAAAUUUUCCAUAUUCUCAUUUAGAACUUCUAACGAUCUUUUCUGUAGGAGCUCUGAGACAAUGUCUUUCACUUUUAGCUGCUCUAUCUCGGUUAAACUUAAGCUUUGAUGAUGGAUUUCAGAAUGAAAAGCAGAUGAAACGGAAGAAGAAUGAAGGAGAGCUUCAUUAUCUGCAGAAAGAAAUGAUCUUGCCCGAGCAUAACACCAAGAGGCAUAUGAAAUCCAUGACUUCCCCAUAUUAAGGCAGAGUCGAGUAGAUAGCUCCCUUGCAGCACCCACAAAUUCCUCAGUAAUAGCAUCAAUAUUAGGUUUAGCACUCAGAGCAUCAUUUCUAAAGCUAGAAAACCCUCUGCCAGAGUCAAACGUGUCAGUAUUAAUAAAAUCUUCUCUAAACUUCAGAACGACAUCUUUCAACCUUGGAUCUGAAUAAUUUUGUUCCAACCAAUUUGACAGUUUUAAACAUGCCUUUGCCUUCAAGACAUUGUCAAAAGAAUCAGAAGAAACAAUUGCAGAAGAAAGCAUGCUAGGACGUACAAGUGACCACAUAUUGGAAAAUGCAUCAUCAAGCUUGCCUUCACUGUGCAUCAACAGGAUGUCCUCAUACUGCAAACUGGAGAUGAUAUAAUCACGAAAGUCGGUGUCAGGGCAAUUUGCUACAUUCUCCUUAAGGUAGUUGCUUAGACGAUUUGCCAACACCAAAUUUCUUUGCUUGCGAGAUAAGUUCAACAAGUUAUUACAUAGCUUGAGAGUCGCAGGUGAUGUUGGUUGAGUAUUUUGGUAAACUCGGAGUACUUUUAGCCAUAAACUGCAAUCUUGAUGAACUCGAUUAAUCGGGGACUGAACUGCUUGAAUAUAUGAUCCUAAUAAUGACUCUAAAUGAUUGUCUUGGCUGCCCCGCAUCUGGUACUUUUCCUCCAAUGCCAGUAUGCAGUAUAAAUGGUUGACAUGUGGUGCAGCAUCAGAGAGACCAUCGAGGGGAAGAACAGAUAGUGUUUCCUCCAGUAUUGACUUGGCUUUCUGCAAUUCGUGAGGUACCUUGUCCACUUUCCCCUCCUUCUGGAAAAGCAUUGCCUGCAAAAGCAUUUGCUCACUCCUUUGCAAGGCUAACUUGGGAUCAAGUGUGAGUUCAUUGCUACUUUUUGGUGUCAAAUCAAGGCAUGCCCAUGAUGCCUGAACAUCGCCCUCAUCAAAACGGGCUAAUGCUUGGACGGAGUUUAUUUCAUUUCCUGCAGUAGUUAGAGCACCAGAGUAGCUCUUUCCUGCAUGCUUUGAUCGUAGUGCUUGCAGCUCCAACAACCAGGAUUCCAAAGCUUUCCAAUCAGAAACUGCAGUAUAACUCUCAAUAAUACGAGCAAUAGCAAACUGUACUCCUUCAGAACCCAUAGAACUGAGUGAAUCAUCGGUCUGUAGCAGAUGUAUAAAAUGUGCUGCAGCCUUCUCAUGUUGGCCCUUUGCCUGAUAUACUAGUCCAGUUAUCCAUGAAAAUUGUUCUAGAAUCUCACUAUCACUUAACCUUUGAUUGUCCUCAGCAAACAAUGGAAAGAAUGCCAUGCUUGUCCACUUUUGUAGACCAAUUAAUGCCUCUGAUUCAUGAUUCUUACAGAGAGCUAAUGCCAUGUGCCGUACAACCCUCAAAAUUUCUCCAUCAAACCUACCCCUGAUACUCUGGACAACUUCACUCACCUGGACUCUUGAAUUGUCCGUGAAAGAUGAAGCAACAAAAUUCUUAAGCUCUCGUAAACGCAGUGUGCAGUAUUGGAUUGUAGCAUCAUGACACUGGAGUGCCAAUCCAGCAUUCAUCAUUGGUUCACAUAUGCGAGAAAACCACUCCUCACAGACUUUCUUAUUUGCACGGAAGAACAAAGAGCUCUGCCUAGAUGGACAGGGCAAAACUGUUGAUCCUUCAUAUGCAUUGUACACAUUUUUCUUCAGAGCCUCAACAAAAUCUAGCAACAGCCUCAUUGGCAACAAAUGAGCAUAAGAAGUGCUGGUGAUGGUCAAAUUUCCAUCACUUUGGUGAGUAUCAAGCUGUAGCAGAUGAGAAAUGUCCAGAAGCAUUCGUUCCAAUGCAGCAAAAGUUUGAGUGGGGCCACCAAGAUUGGUCCGGAGUCUCGUAGAAAUACAGCACCUUGCCGCUUCAUUUAUAGCCCACCAGGCACCUGCAAGAAUAUUGGUAGAGCAGACUCUUUCAAGAAUAUCCCUCUCCACUUUGACGUCCCUCCACAAUCCAUUUACAUCAGCGUUUACCAAUUCCUCUGACUGUAUUAAAGGAUGGUCUUUCGAGUUCCGGCAGGAACAGAUUAACCGUUGAAUCCAAGAAGACAAAGGCACUUUCCAUCUCUGAGAAAUGUAACUCAAUAUGGAAACAAGUUGCUGUGAGCGAAGUUGAUGAGGUAGUUGCUUUAUGGCAAAGACUUGCUUCCAGUACAAAUUAGGCCUGUUUUUAACUCCACAAAUAACACUGCUAGAAGAAGUAAUCAUUCUACAAUCAUACAGACCAAAAACAUAUAUAGUAAUAGGCAGAACAUUGCAAAGCAACCUACCAAAUGCAUUUUUUAUAUCUUUUUCUGGGUCCCCAAGUUUCUCAAGGACAGUCUCAGCAAUGUACAGGAAGUGAGAGGGAUGGACAAGUU
This 6597-nucleotide long non-coding RNA is filed under the name Coffea arabica (coffee). RNAcentral's name for it is "long non-coding RNA (CARA_LNC001622)". The record is from RNAcentral. Lineage: Eukaryota; Viridiplantae; Streptophyta; Magnoliopsida; Gentianales; Rubiaceae.